AGCGAACGCUGGCGGCAGGCCUAACACAUGCAAGUCGAACGAACCUUUCGGGGUUAGUGGCGGACGGGUGAGUAACACGUGGGAACGUGCCUUUAGGUUCGGAAUAACUCAGGGAAACUUGUGCUAAUACCGAAUGUGCCCUUCGGGGGAAAGAUUAAUCGCCUUUAGAGCGGCCCGCGUCUGAUUAGCUAGUUGGUUGAGGUAAUGGCUCACCAAGGCGACGAUCAGUAGCUGGUCUGAGAGGAUGAUCAGCCACAUUGGGACUGAGACACGGCCCAAACUCCUACGGGAGGCAGCAGUGGGGAAUCUUGCGCAAUGGGCGAAAGCCUGACGCAGCCAUGCCGCGUGAAUGAUGAAGGUCUUAGGAUUGUAAAAUUCUUUCACCGGGGACGAUAAUGAAGGUACCCGGAGAAGAAGACCCGGCUAACUUCGUG
This 434-nucleotide ribosomal RNA is filed under the name uncultured bacterium. RNAcentral describes it as "partial 16S ribosomal RNA". It matches the Rfam family "Bacterial small subunit ribosomal RNA", at positions 29 to 507 of the family's 1533-position model. The record is from RNAcentral.